Lonchura striata (white-rumped munia) is the source of this 307-nucleotide non-coding RNA. The record is from Rfam. Lineage: Eukaryota; Metazoa; Chordata; Aves; Passeriformes; Estrildidae.
CCGACCGGAAGUGGCCGUGGCUGUGUGCGCGUGCGCGUGCGUGUGUGAGUGUGGCUGCGUGCGCGUGUGAGUGUGAGUGUGUCUGUGUGCGCGUGUGCGCAGUGCGAGUCAGGGGUGUCCGUGUGUGAGGCGCCAGCCAUCCUCCCCUCCCUACACGUUGAUCUUAUUCGAUCGGCCGGGCCCCGCCGGGCCGAGGUGAGAAGAAAGUGCCGCGAAGCCCUCGGGCGCUGUGCGGCUGGGCCGGGCGGGAUGAGUCGAUCAGAUAGGCGAGGCCACGGCCGCUGAGCGCCCUGCGAUUCUGACCCGC